RNAcentral lists this ribosomal RNA (558 nucleotides) under uncultured Alphaproteobacteria bacterium. RNAcentral describes it as "bacterial SSU rRNA". It matches the Rfam family "Bacterial small subunit ribosomal RNA", at positions 338 to 916 of the family's 1533-position model. The record is from RNAcentral. Lineage: Bacteria; Pseudomonadati; Pseudomonadota; Alphaproteobacteria.
CCUACGGGAGGCAGCAGUGGGGAAUCUUGCACAAUGGAGGAAACUCUGAUGCAGCGAUGCCGCGUGAGUGAAGAAGGCCUUUGGGUUGUAAAGCUCUUUUGUAGGGGAAGAUAAUGACUGUACCCUAAGAAUAAGGUCCGGCUAACUUCGUGCCAGCAGCCGCGGUAAUACGAAGGGACCUAGCGUAGUUCGGAAUUACUGGGCGUAAAGCGCGCGUAGGCCGUUGAGUCAGUUAAUUGUGAAAUCCCAAAGCUUAACUUUGGAACUGCAAUUAAAACUGCUCGACUAGAGUUUGAUAGAGGAAAGCGGAAUACAUAGUGUAGAGGUGAAAUUCGUAGAUAUUAUGUAGAACACCAGUUGCGAAGGCGGCUUUCUGGAUCAACACUGACGCUGAGGCGCGAAAGUAUGGGUAGCAAAGAGGAUUAGAUACCCUCGUAGUCCAUACCAUAAACGAUGAUUGCUAGAUGUUGGAAAUUUAUUUUCAGUAUCGCAGCUAACGCAUUAAGCAAUCCGCCUGGGGAGUACGACCGCAAGGUUAAAACUCAAAGGAAUUGACGG